AAACCUCUCACGCCCCGGGUCUAAUCGAUCCGCGCGGCUGUGGACCGUGGCCGUCGGCCGGCUCUCGUAGUCGGCCCGGCCGAAAUAUAUGCGGAGCGCUUCUGCUGCCCGCGACGACCGAGCGUUGUAGACCCCUCGCUUGAUCGGCGUGAGCGCAGGCUCCCCAACCUACUU
RNAcentral lists this unclassified non-coding RNA (174 nucleotides) under Phyllozyma producta. RNAcentral's name for it is "sequence contains ITS2". The record is from RNAcentral. Lineage: Eukaryota; Fungi; Basidiomycota; Spiculogloeomycetes; Spiculogloeales; Spiculogloeaceae.